AGACAUAUAUGUAUUUCAAACGUACUCAUAUAUUCAUGUAAAGUCUUGUCAGAUUAAUCUCGAUUCCAACACUUACUGAAUCUAACAUGCUAACCCAAUGUCAUCCUUACCAAAUGAGCUACCAAGUCACAUUGUUGAGAGUGAGGAAUAGCUCAAGUGGUUAGAGCUUCCCUCGCAAUCUCAGGAGAUCCUGGGAUCGAUUCUCACCCCGUCUUUGGCUUUCUAAACACCAAAAAAAAAAACAUUGUUAGACUUUGGGGCAAGUUCAAGUCCAUAUUACAAAAACCCCCCACGACACCCAACCCAUUUUGCGAAAACCCUACUCAUUCGGGAGCUGAGCAGACAAUCAUGGAUUAUUGAAGCUGAGCUGAGCUGAGCAGACUUUGGGCUGGAUCAAGCUUCAUUGUUCAAACUCUGAAAUGUUCUUGAGUCCUUUGCUCUAAAUGCCCUUCAUUUAUGAGUAAUUUGGUGAAUUCAACUCUAAAUGCUGAGGGAAUGAUUGAAGAAUGGGAUUUGUGGUCUAUCCCAUUCAUGUGAGAAGAGGCGGUCAUAAGAGGCCGGCGCCAAAGGUGUUGUGAAUUGUUAGCCAACAUGCAACGGUUUAACUCAGUUAAAAUUGCAGCACAGCAAGAGGUCAGUUGCGGACGAGCGUGCUGGACUGUUGGUCACAAAUUGGGUGGCCUGAUUAUCUUUGAAUUAAACUUUCAAGCACUAUAAAGUACGGAGUAAUCCUUAUUGACACUGUUUACAACGCCAUCAGAAACAAUUCGGGAAUCAAACAGGAAUUACAAUUCUGUCCGCGUGCAUAGAGAGAGCACUGUGACAUACAUUGGCAGGCAAAAAUACAGCAGUCUUCAUGGCAGCGGUCAACCUCAAGAACAGGCCAUCUUGCAGGGCAACACGGAACAGAAACUGGACCAAAUCCUUGUGUUGAUACAAUUAAUUUCGGUUAUUUGGCCUUUUUUUGGCAUCACACAUUAGUUCUUUUCUAGUCUGUAUUGCUGCUUAGUCUGAAAUUUAAGUACUGAAUUGUUCAAGACUAUCUUUCUUAAACAUACAAAAUACAGCAGUCUAACUUGUCUAAGGUAGAUAGUGGUAAUCUAAUGCUGGUUGAAAUAAAAAUAUUGGAAACUUUCUUCUAGUCCCUUUUCAGUUCUUUUGCCUUCUGGAACGAAUCUGGUUUAUGACAUUCAACUAUGAUU
Chenopodium quinoa (quinoa) is the source of this 1202-nucleotide long non-coding RNA. RefSeq lists it as uncharacterized. The record is from RefSeq and is a predicted model, not a curated record. NCBI's taxonomy places the organism in Eukaryota, Viridiplantae, Streptophyta, Magnoliopsida, Caryophyllales, Amaranthaceae. The transcript has 4 exons.